This 857-nucleotide ribosomal RNA is filed under the name uncultured bacterium. RNAcentral describes it as "bacterial SSU rRNA". It matches the Rfam family "Bacterial small subunit ribosomal RNA", at positions 8 to 853 of the family's 1533-position model. The record is from RNAcentral.
AGAGUUUGAUCAUGGCUCAGGAUGAACGCUGGCGGCGUGCUUCACACAUGCAAGUCGAACGGAGAUGCUAUGUGAGCGGAAGAUGCUUGCAUCCAACAAUCUUAUAGCAUCUUAGUGGCGGACGGGUGAGUAACGCGUGGGUAACCUGCCUUAUACCGGGGGAUAACACUUAGAAAUAGGUGCUAAUACCGCAUAAGCGCACGAUGCCGCAUGGCAAAGUGUGAAAAACUCCGGUGGUAUAAGAUGGACCCGCGUCUGAUUAGCUUGUUGGCGGGGUAACGGCCCACCAAGGCGACGAUCAGUAGCCGGCCUGAGAGGGUGAACGGCCACAUUGGGACUGAGACACGGCCCAAACUCCUACGGGAGGCAGCAGUGGGGAAUAUUGCACAAUGGGGGAAACCCUGAUGCAGCGACGCCGCGUGAGUGAAGAAGUAUUUCGGUAUGUAAAGCUCUAUCAGCAGGGAAGAAGAAAUGACGGUACCUGACUAAGAAGCCCCGGCUAACUACGUGCCAGCAGCCGCGGUAAUACGUAGGGGGCAAGCGUUAUCCGGAUUUACUAGGUGUAAAGGGAGCGUAGACGGCAAUGCAAGUCUGAAGUGAAAGGCCGGGGCUCAACCCCGGGACUGCUUUGGAAACUGUGUAGCUGGAGUACAGGAGAGGUAAGUGGAAUUCCUAGUGUAGCGGUGAAAUGCGUAGAUAUUAGGAGGAACACCAGUGGCGAAGGCGGCUUACUGGACUGUAACUGACGUUGAGGCUCGAAAGCGUGGGGAGCAAACAGGAUUAGAUACCCUGGUAGUCCACGCCGUAAACGAUGAUCACUAGGUGUCGGGGAGUAUAGACUCUUCGGUGCCGCAGCC